RNAcentral lists this ribosomal RNA (404 nucleotides) under Actinomycetes bacterium. Its description in RNAcentral is "Actinobacteria bacterium partial 16S ribosomal RNA". It matches the Rfam family "Bacterial small subunit ribosomal RNA", at positions 355 to 776 of the family's 1533-position model. The record is from RNAcentral. Lineage: Bacteria; Bacillati; Actinomycetota; Actinomycetes.
UGGGGAAUAUUGGACAAUGGGCGCAAGCCUGAUCCAGCCAUGCCGCGUGAGUGAUGAAGGCCCUAGGGUUGUAAAGCUCUUUCACCGGUGAAGAUAAUGACGGUAACCGGAGAAGAAGCCCCGGCUAACUUCGUGCCAGCAGCCGCGGUAAUACGAAGGGGGCUAGCGUUGUUCGGAUUUACUGGGCGUAAAGCGCACGUAGGCGGACUUUUAAGUCAGGGGUGAAAUCCCGGGGCUCAACCCCGGAACUGCCUUUGAUACUGGAAGUCUUGAGUAUGGUAGAGGUGAGUGGAAUUCCGAGUGUAGAGGUGAAAUUCGUAGAUAUUCGGAGGAACACCAGUGGCGAAGGCGGCUCACUGGACCAUUACUGACGCAGAGGUGCGAAAGCGUGGGGAGCAAACAGG